UCCAGCCGUACAACGCCACUAUAACCCAAUGCGCCUAGACCAUGACAUGCUACAAAAACCGGACCAAAGGCAGACAGAAGGCAGUACAGACGGACACACAUAAGCCCUCGGGCUGCCUCAGAAAGUGUGACUGUGCAUUGACCUACAUACCAGAAGGAGCCAAGUGGAGCUGUUCAUGUGCCAUGCACGAAGUUUCAUAAGCGGGCUUUCAGCGCUUUUGAAAAUUAUGUUUCUGAAUACAUCUGUCAAAGUUGUGUUCAAAA
Long non-coding RNA from Rhipicephalus microplus (southern cattle tick), 263 nucleotides. The record is from RefSeq and is a predicted model, not a curated record. NCBI's taxonomy places the organism in Eukaryota, Metazoa, Arthropoda, Arachnida, Ixodida, Ixodidae.